GAACGUCGUGAGACAGUUCGGUCCCUAUCUGCCGUGGGCGCUGGAGAACUGAGGGGGGCUGCUCCUAGUACGAGAGGACCGGAGUGGACGCAUCACUGGUGUUCGGGUUGUCAUGCCAAUGGCACUGCCCGGUAGCUAAAUGCGGAAGAGAUAAGUGCUGAAAGCAUCUAAGCACGAAACUUGCCCCGAGAUGAGUUCUCCCUGACCCUUUAAGGGUCCUGAAGGUACGUUGAAGACGACGACGCUGAUAGGCCGGGUGUGU
RNAcentral lists this ribosomal RNA (262 nucleotides) under Xanthomonas citri pv. citri. RNAcentral's name for it is "partial 23S ribosomal RNA". It matches the Rfam family "Bacterial large subunit ribosomal RNA", at positions 2614 to 2870 of the family's 2925-position model. The record is from RNAcentral. Lineage: Bacteria; Pseudomonadati; Pseudomonadota; Gammaproteobacteria; Lysobacterales; Lysobacteraceae.